GCGCUCGCUUUGGCAGCACAUAUACUAAAUUGGAACAAUGCAGAGAGGAUUUAGCAUGGCCCCUGCACAACGAUGAUGACAAUUUUGUGAAGCUUUUUUACCGUAUUUUU
This is a small nuclear RNA of Ochotona princeps (American pika), 110 nucleotides long. The record is from RefSeq and is a predicted model, not a curated record. Lineage: Eukaryota; Metazoa; Chordata; Mammalia; Lagomorpha; Ochotonidae.